CUCUUCUAUAUUCUUUGAUAUCUCCGAAGAAAACCCAAAUCUUCUUGGAGUGAAACUCCGGCGGCGAGUCAUCUCCAGUCAACCGAGACGGUGUCUUGUCCUCCUCUCCAAUAUUCAGAGGCUGCGGCGUGUUUUCUAGAAGGCGGCGGCGGGUCAAGUUUCGGCGAGUUCACAAUUGAUCAAGCCAUAAAAGUCAGAGUCAAUUGAUCGAACAUGCCAAGUCUGGGCCAAUUGAUCGAUCAAGCAAAGUCAGAACCAUGCAUCUGUACAAAGGUCCUUGGGGUGCUCUUUCACCGAUGCCCGAGAUCAAUGCCAUUUCUGUUGAUUCUGAGAUUAACUGUUCAGUCGUUCCUCAUUUUUCGUUUAUAAUAGUCAGGAAGUGUAUUUACGGCGGCGGGUGAUUCUUCUGCAUAUUGCUGGGACGUGGAGAGUGGUAAAUCAAAAUAACCUUCAAGGGGUAUUCAGACUAUUUGCAUUGUGUAAUUUCACGUAGUUCUGCCAGCCAGAUAUUGACGGGGUCAGAGGAUAGGACUGCAAGAAUCUAGGGUAUCUUUCUCGUGCCCGUUUUUCUUUCUGCUGUAAUUUCUAGUAUUAUGUUUGGAUCAUAUGUGGUUGAAAUCAUUUGCGUCUUCAUGUUGCUACUUGAGAUCCAAUGCUCCUCAGUUUUGUUGUCAGCUUCUCGAAA
Molecule: long non-coding RNA, 685 nt
Organism: Eutrema salsugineum
Lineage: Eukaryota; Viridiplantae; Streptophyta; Magnoliopsida; Brassicales; Brassicaceae
Exons: 5
Source: RefSeq, a predicted model, not a curated record